This is a long non-coding RNA of Pangasianodon hypophthalmus (striped catfish), 2767 nucleotides long. RefSeq lists it as uncharacterized. The record is from RefSeq and is a predicted model, not a curated record. The transcript is spliced from 3 exons. Lineage: Eukaryota; Metazoa; Chordata; Actinopteri; Siluriformes; Pangasiidae.
CAUAUACCUACCACACAGCCCACCUUCAACUCACAGCACUGACACAUCAUCACAUCCCACUUUAUCUUACAAACUCAUGUCAUAAUAUUUAUUCCCAUAAAUAUUUUUAUGCAUUCAGUUCAAUACUGGAUAUACGGUUUAAGAUAGUUUAAAUAACAUUAAUGCAAUGCAAUAUGAGGUUCAAGUAAUCAUUGCUUUUACAUUUUUAUCACUGAAUAACCCAUAGCUCAGGGUGCAGAUAUUGUCAGCUACAUCUGCAGCUUUGCAGUGUUACAAGAACAUAUAUGCAUGUGUGUUUUCCAUGCAGUGUUCAAGUGACGGUGGGAAAAAUUGUCAGACCCGUCAAAAAUGUUCUACCAUGUCGACUUGAAGCAAUGAGGCCUGUGUGUGCUUCCUACAGAACCGGUUCUUUGUGUGGUUAUGUUAGAUGAGAGGUUUUUCCAGUGUUUUUUUUUUUUUUUUUUUUAGUAUUAGUGGUGCUACAGUGCAGUGUGUUUAUCUAGCUUAUAGGACUUUGAACCAAAACUAUUUUCUGCGCGUGAAGCUACAAUUACGAUGCACAAAGUGACACAAAACAGAGUGAAGGAAUCCCAGCACGGAUUGCAGAUCACACUGGGAAGUUACUGAAUUCCACCUGAAGGGAGCUGUGUAUGGAAAAUUCUCGGGAGUCUGUGGGAAUAAAAUAAAAAAAAUAGCUUUGGACCCCAAAUCGCUUGACAAAUCAACGACUGUAUCUUUCAUAAUUGCUAUUUAUGCCAGUUAUGUAAUCUGACCUCAUAAUCAGUUAUGAUAACAAACCGCACAGUCUGUAGUGCAUGGAGAGAAAUCUGGCUCUUACUUAGCACACAGAUUAAGCAACAUGCACAGAAAAGAGGCGAGUUUAUGUCUCUCUCUCUCUCUCUCUCUCUCUCACACACACACACACACACACACACACACACACUUCCAGCAAGGCGUUGCGGACACCGGCAGCUGAAAUAAAAGCAGGAUUUUGGUGCAACUACACUGUGUGCCGUGUUUUUGUUCACACUUUAAAAAAAAUACAAGUCGACCUAAAAAAAAACGUCGCUUUCCGAUACACUGAAUUUCUGUGAGUUAGUGCAAAUGAUCGCACUUGACAAAGCAAACAGGGGAGCAGUGUGAGAGUUGACUUGGCUGCAGUAGGUGCAGUGGGAGAAGGAGGAGGAGGAGGAGGAAUGGUGAAGUGCUCCUCCAAAAAAAAAAAAAAAAAAAAAAAACACUGCCGACAACUUUCCCUCCUCAUCUACAAACCUGAGGAAAUAAUCCAAGCAGCUGGUUAGUUUUUCCUCAUUUAAUAAAAAAUGAUCUGCUAUUUUUUUUUUCUUUGCGUUUAUUUCUAUCCCACGCGUGAUGGAUGGCCUUCUGAGACUUUUCCACGGCGUGUGUGGCACGAGCGCAGAAAGACAGACACACACUGGGAGAGAGAGAGAAGGAGAGAGAAGGAGAGAGAGAGGGAAAGCGCGCGCGCUUCGAGUCCUGCUUCUUCACUGACCAUGUGUCAGAUUGAGGAGUUCCAAUCCUGAGAGCUGUCUCAACCAGAGAGCUGUGAGAUUUUACCAGCGUGAGUAUGGAGCCUCGGUGCACACGUUCACCCCACCACUGAUUAAUGCACUCGGAAACCACAAGUGAGUGUUUCAUGCAGGUUUUGUCCCAAACUCGGGGGAAAUCCUCUAUACGUGGCAGCUCAGGAACCCCUCAGCUCCGUUAUGUAAGAGAAAUGAAUUACUGUAUAUGCUUUUUAUUCUACAGUAGAAGCUGUUCUGUGUGCAGUUUAUUAUGAAAACUAUAACACGUUGCUCUAUUAAACUUCUGUGCUGCUUGUGUUUCUUUGCUUUUUUUUUUUUCAUUCCAUGCUCCAGCUGGUUUUAACCUGCACUUAUCUUUAAUGACUGGGUGAUUAAUAAUAAUAAUAAUAAUAAUAAUAAUAAUAAUAAUAAUAAGUCUAUUAUUAGGUAUGUGAAAUCAUUUUAAAGUGUCCUGCAGAAACCCAUUUUUAGCUUAAUAGAGAAAAAGAAUUUAUAGCAGGAAAUAGUCUAUUUAUUUAAGUAGUAUUUACUGCAGAACAUGGCAUGAUUUAAGAUAUAUAAAUCCUGCUAAACAUGGCAGAAAAAAAUCAGACUUUAGAUGUAUUAAAUAUAUUUGUAAUGAUAUAGUGUAAUUUGAUGACAGACUAAUCAGCACAUCAACAUUUUCACCUGUUCAUCACUCUGGCAUUUUGACAAGUUCAGAUUCAUAAUGUUGUUUUAUUUAAGAAAUUAUAUGUAAAUUACUUUGCUUUUCCCUAUUGAUCAGAUUCAUAAUGUUGUUUUAUUUAAGAAAUUAUAUGUAAAUUACUUUGCUUUUCCCUAUUGAUCUAAAAGCAAAUAUAUUAUGUCAUGCAUAUAUUGUAUAUUCUCUUGUUUUCAGGUUUGCAUUUACCUGACUUCUUUAUAGACUAACCAUUGUAUUAAAGCAAUCAUUUUAUAUAGCUCUAUGAUUGUGUCAAAUUUACAAAUUUUUAAUUGUAAAAUAUAAAUUUUUAAAUCUUAAUAUCACAGACUAAAUUUGGGUCAGUGUUUCUGUUCAAUGUUUUUAGUGGUCUUAGUACAAAUGUUAAAAAUCAAACUAAUUUUGAUGGUACACAACUGUCACAAGAUGUCAAAAGCACAAGGGCAAAAAUAAAAUUUUUGGACAUUUUGGCUAUUCCUUAUUUAAAAAUAAAAAUUUAAAGCAACUGACUGACAUAUAAUGUCUGACAUAAAUGUCU